This 3364-nucleotide long non-coding RNA is filed under the name Nicotiana tabacum (common tobacco). Its description in RNAcentral is "long non-coding RNA (NTAB_LNC008761)". The record is from RNAcentral. Lineage: Eukaryota; Viridiplantae; Streptophyta; Magnoliopsida; Solanales; Solanaceae.
AAUUAGACGCGCUGCCCGCUUCUCUUGCUAUUUUGACGCGUGCGUGCUUGGCAUAAGCAUGUUCUCUGUGGAGUUACCUUGAUCUUACUACAGCUUCCUCUGUUGUCGUCUGUGACUUGCUCCUCUAUUUUCUUCGUCUAUUCUGUAUCCUGUAUACCUGUGCCUUAUCUCCAAUUCUUGCUAUAAAUUCCCAACUUGAUUUGUUCUACCCACAACACACUCAGUUUCUUGGAGUUUCCUGCCUUAUCCUUAAAAGGGUAAGUUUCAUAUAUGAUUGCUUAUUUUAUUUUAUUUUAUUUUUGGCUUACAUUAUAUCACCUGGGUGUUUUUUGUUUUUAUAAAAGUUGAUCCUUUUUGCUACAUGCCAUAAUCGUUUUUACUGAUACAAUUAUGGGAUACGGGAAUGCUUAAUUCUUGUAGAAAUUAGAUCUAAAAGUGUUAUUGUAAUGAUUGGAGUUUUCAAGAAUAACUCGGUGGCAGUAAUAGUGGACCAGGGGUUAGAAGGAAGGGUUGAUAAAGAAACAGAUACCAUAGACACACAGAAAUGGUGUUCAAUAAGCAGAUUUACAUAAGAUAGGUAAUAGAGGUCCUAAUCCUACAUUUUUGUUAGUCUACCUAAUCAAAGGCACUUAACUGUUCUAUUAGACAAUAAUGCAUCAUGGCAAUGCAACUGGCCGUAGACCAAUUCCACGAUUCAAUUAGAUUAUAUUUGAAGACAGACAAACCAAAACUUUAUCAGCAUCCCACUUAACGAUAACUAGAAAGCAUGUAAUUCACUCUACUAUGAAAAUUGAUGAGGAUCUCAAAUAACAAGAGAUUUUGGCAGUUGGCACAAAUUGUUAAUUUAGAUAGUACUCAACAAAAUGACAGAGAACUUAGUUUAUUAGAUUUAAUUAUCUUCCUCUUUUUACUGUUUUAGUAGAAGCUAGGACAUCAUUUUGAUUGAUUGUGAUCAUCGAAUAAGUUUUUGUAUACCUGCUCUAUGCUUCUCCGUAGAGUUUUAUUUCUUCCUACUCAAUAAAAUAAAAUAAGUUCCUGCAAGUGUUUUCGUAUUAGAAAGAUUGAUUUUUGAAGAUUUUUCGAGUACCACAUGACCCCUGGAGUCACACAAUUGUAUUCAUAAAUAUACUUUUCUAUAUUUAGCUUAUACAAUUGUUUUCCUUUGAGUAUUAGACAGAGAAUACUUUCUUUAUUAAGUUUAAGUCAAUAGUUAUUACAAGCUCUCCGAAUACUUUCUUGCAUUAAGUUAAACAAUUCUUAGCUAACCACACGUAAUUUAUCAUAAUUCAUUUUACUUUGUUAAUUUGAGAGCUUAAAUUCCUUUAAAGAUAUUUGUUGUGUAAAUAUUACAUGUUCGGUGUUUUAUAAUAGUAUUCUUUAUAAUCAUACGUGCUUACAACAGAAUAAAUAAAGUGAAAUAGUUGUGCUAUUUUUGCUCAUUAUAUUUAAUUGUUGUUUCUUGAGUAUCUCUUGCUAUUUGAUUAAAAAAACAUAAUUCUAUUGUUGUAAAAUGACCUCAGGACAGCUGGAGCUCCAAUAGUUGCAAAAAAUUUCAGAUUAACGGAUAUUCGACAAUAAAACAAAGGGGCCCUCGCUCGGUAAUGGAAGCUCAUGAUAAGGAUACAAACACCUUAAAAUAGAUGACUCUUUAGGAAUGACCUUGAAAGAAGAAAAUUUAUUGCAACGACGCCUAAAACUUCGUUCGCGAAGCAACAACUAAUCGCCUUGUGAAAAAUAUAAAUCAUGUCAAUCACGUUGGAACAACUUCUCAUGUAGAUGAUAUGUUAAUAUUCGACUGUCUUGUUCUUCAUCAGAAAUAGGCAACAAUAUUGCUCUUCAGUUAUAUUGGUAUCACAUAGUCAUCAUACUUGAUUUAAUAGUGUUGAAACUAAUAGCAUAAUUAUGUUAUGUUAAUUCUGAAGGUCUUGUACGACUAUGAACACAAAAUCAAUCAGGCAGUCUCUCCUGGACUUCAAGGUGGUCCUCACAAUCAUACCAUUACUGGCUUGACAGUUGCCUUGAAAUAAGUAUCAUAUCUUUACAAGAGCAAUUUUUGACCCUUUUUUCAAUUGUAUGAAUACUGGCUAAGUUAAGGGUCUUCUUACCCAUCAUUUAGGGAUAUAAAAUAUCUUUGCGUCUUAGAUGGUUAAGUAAGCUUUUUGGGAUUUAAGAACUGAAGGGUUUUGACCUUAGGUCAGGAAAUGAUUAUGUAAAACAAACAAAUAUAGAGUACUAACUUUCUCGGAAUUUUACUAUGACCUCCAGCAGAUAGCACUUUUGAUGUCUUAUUAAAUCCUAUUUUUCCCCCUCUGAGUGUGUGAAACAUAUGGAUUAUAUAAAGCAGUCAACCGAUGACUGCAAACCAAAGCUAGAAAAGGUUUUAAAAGAUCAAGAUAUCUUUGUGAUGCUGCUGACCACAACUAAGGUGAAUUAUUAGUCAGAUGACAAUCUCAAUGCUGGACUUGGGUCACCAACUCCUUAUUAGGAACUACACUUUUCUUUAUGAAUCUUGAGAACCAAAGGGUUAUCAAGGUUUGACAAUUCUUCUUGAAUUACUAAUAUGAAGAUGAGUAUUUUAUUUAGCUUGGUCUUGAGUAUUUUAUUUUAGCUCGAGCAAUUUAUAUGGUCUUGAGUAUUUUAUUUUAGCUUGAGCAAUUCAUAGCUAAAAUAAAAUACUCAAGACAAACUACUGUUUCUUAUUACUAUAUUUAACGUAUAAAAUAUCGGAGUACCAUAAUAUAUAAUUAAGGUAGCCAUAUUUUGAGACGGUAGAACUUUAGUCAUAUCUAAUUUGUCUCCUUGCUCAUCAAUACAUUUUUUUUUUCACUUCUGCACUUUUAUCAGUGCAAGCGAUUGUAUUUUGUAUUUUACACAAUCGACACCUCUAAAAAAACUAAUGGUUUUCAUUGUACUCUCUCAGGACCCUGUUAUGCAUUCAUUGGACAUCACAUAGAUACACAACCACUGGUUCAUCCAAAUGACAUGAGAAAAGCAUAAGAAUGAACAAGUUGAUGGGAGAAAUUGGCGUCUUCUUAGAGUCUCUGGAAACCUUUUAGCUUCCUCACAUUUUAAUGGAAUGCUAACCACAUGCGACCUGGUUCUCGACCUUCAUAUGAAUUUUAUACGAGUCUUUCUAACUGCUGCAAAAUUUUCUUUUCUCGGAUUUUUUUAGCUCAUUUAGUGCUAUAAGAGUACUUUUGAGAUUUUUACUAAAAUUUUAUUGUUGCAACAGUUUAUUUGUAUCAUCAGGUGUUACUGCAAAGCCAUAUGAUUUUUGGGUAACAUAUGGAUUACAGAGAGCAGGAUUAAAAAGAAUAAGAUUUCUGUUGCAAUUGUGUAGUCUUCUAUUUCUUUUCUGACUAAC